CAGCCGCCGCGGGAAUACGAAGGGUGCAAGCGUUAAUCGGAAUUACUGGGCGUAAAGCGUGCGUAGGCGGUGAGUUAAGUCUGCUGUGAAAUCCCCGGGCUCAACCUGGGAAUGGCAGUGGAUACUGGCUCGCUAGAGUGUGUCAGAGGAUGGUGGAAUUCCCGGUGUAGCGGUGAAAUGCGUAGAGAUCGGGAGGAACAUCAGUGGCGAAGGCGGCCAUCUGGGACAACACUGACGCUGAGGCACGAAGGCGUGGGGAGCAAACAGGAUUAGAUACCCCGGUAGUCCCUGUCUCUUAUAC
This 301-nucleotide ribosomal RNA is filed under the name uncultured bacterium. Its description in RNAcentral is "partial 16S ribosomal RNA". It matches the Rfam family "Bacterial small subunit ribosomal RNA", at positions 509 to 807 of the family's 1533-position model. The record is from RNAcentral.